UACGUAGGGGGCAAGCGUUGUUCGGAAUUAUUGGGCGUAAAGCGCUCGUAGGCGGGACUGGAAGUCCGUGUUGAAAGACCUCGGCUCAACUGAGGGACCGGCUCGGAUACUCUAGUUCUUGAGGCAAUCAGAGGGUGAUGGAAUUCCCGGUGUAGCGGUGAAAUGCGCAGAUAUCAGGAGGAACACCGGUGGCGAAGGCGGGUCUCUGGGCCGAUACUGACGCUGAGGAGCGAAAGCGUGGGGAGCGAACAGG
RNAcentral lists this ribosomal RNA (253 nucleotides) under uncultured bacterium. RNAcentral's name for it is "partial 16S ribosomal RNA". It matches the Rfam family "Bacterial small subunit ribosomal RNA", at positions 524 to 776 of the family's 1533-position model. The record is from RNAcentral.